This 490-nucleotide ribosomal RNA is filed under the name Blastocystis sp. Its description in RNAcentral is "SSU rRNA". It matches the Rfam family "Eukaryotic small subunit ribosomal RNA", at positions 74 to 572 of the family's 1831-position model. Lineage: Eukaryota; Bigyra; Opalinata; Blastocystidae. The record is from RNAcentral.
UUUUACUUUGAAACUGCGAAUGGCUCAUUAUAUCAGUUAUAGUUUAUUAGAAAUACUUUACUACUUGGAUAACCGUAGUAAUUCUAGGGCUAAUACAUGAAUAAAUCCUCAACUUCGGAAGAGGUGUGUUUAUUAGUAUGAAAACCAUAUAUCUUCGGAUAUAAUAGUGAGUAAUAAUAACCUUUCAUAUCGUAUGUCGUAAGAUAACGAUAGUUCUUUCAAGUUUCUGCCCUAUCAGCUUUCGAUGGUAGUAUAUGGGACUACCAUGGCAGUAACGGGUAACGAAGAAUUUGGGUUCGAUUUCGGAGAGGGAGCCUGAGAGAUGGCUACCACAUCCAAGGAAGGCAGCAGGCGCGUAAAUUACCCAAUCCUGACAUAGGGAGGUAGUGACAAUAAAUCACAAUGCGGAACUUUUUAGUUUUGCAAUUGGAUUGAGAACAAUGUACAAAUGUUAUCGAUAAACAAUUGGAGGGCAAGUCUGGUGCCAGCA